GCAAGUCGAAACGAGAAACUUCCCGCUUGCGGGAGGGAGUAAAGUGGCGAACGGGUGAGUAACGCGUGGGUAACCUGCCCUUGAACCUGGGAUAACUUCGCGAAAGCGUUGCUAAUACCGGAUAAUGCCUUGAGGACUUCGGUUUUUGAGGUGAAAGGUGACCUAUCCAUGGAAGUUGCCGUUCAGGGAGGGGCCCGCGUCCCAUUAGCUUGUUGGUAGGGUAAAAGCCUACCAAGGCGAUGAUGGGUAGCUGGUCUGAGAGGAUGAUCAGCCACACUGGCACUGAAACACGGGCCAGACUCCUACGGGAGGCAGCAGUGAGGAAUUUUGCGCAAUGGGGGAAACCCUGACGCAGCAACGCCGCGUGAGUGAAGAAGGCUUUCGGGUCGUAAAGCUCUGUCAAGAGGGAAAAAAGUUUUGCGGUGAAUAGCCGCAAGACCUGAUGGUACCUUUAGAGGAAGCACCGGCUAACUCCGUGCCAGCAGCCGCGGUAAUACGGAGGGUGCGAGCGUUGUUCGGAAUUACUGGGCGUAAAGCGCGUGCAGGCGGUUUGGCAAGUCAGAUGUGAAAGCCCAGGGCUCAACCCUGGAAGUGCAUUUGAAACUGCCAUUCUAGAGUAUGGGAGAGGAGAGUGGAAUUCCCAGUGUAGAGGUGAAAUUCGUAGAUAUUGGGAGGAACACCCGUGGCGAAGGCGACUCUCUGGACCAAUACUGACGCUGAAACGCGAAAGCGUGGGGAGCAAACAGGAUUAGAUACCCUGGUAGUCCACGCCGUAAACGAUGAGCACUAGGUGUAGCGG
This 799-nucleotide ribosomal RNA is filed under the name uncultured delta proteobacterium. RNAcentral describes it as "bacterial SSU rRNA". It matches the Rfam family "Bacterial small subunit ribosomal RNA", at positions 57 to 828 of the family's 1533-position model. The record is from RNAcentral. Lineage: Bacteria; Deltaproteobacteria.